UGCGGGGUAGAGCAGUCUGGCAGCUCGCCGGGCCCAUAACCCGGAGGUCGCAGGUUCAAAUCCUGCCCCCGCUAUUCGGA
RNAcentral lists this transfer RNA (80 nucleotides) under Caudoviricetes sp. Its description in RNAcentral is "tRNA-Met". It matches the Rfam family "tRNA". Rfam says of the family: Transfer RNA (tRNA) molecules are approximately 80 nucleotides in length. Their secondary structure includes four short double-helical elements and three loops (D, anti-codon, and T loops). The record is from RNAcentral. Lineage: Duplodnaviria; Heunggongvirae; Uroviricota; Caudoviricetes.